Molecule: ribosomal RNA, 422 nt
Filed under: Laparocerus alluaudi
Lineage: Eukaryota; Metazoa; Arthropoda; Insecta; Coleoptera; Curculionidae
Also listed under: 1 other name
Description: partial 16S ribosomal RNA
Source: RNAcentral
GGUAUUUUGACCGUGCAAAGGUAGCAUAAUCAUUAGUUUUUUAAUUGAAAGCUGGAAUGAAAGGUUGGAUGAAAAAUAAGCUGUCUCUAUUUAAUUUUAUUAGAAUUUUAUUUUUAAGUUAAAAAGCUUAAAUUUAAAUAGAAGACGAGAAGACCCUAUAGAGUUUAAUUUAUUUUUAAAAUAAGAUUAUUGGUAUUUAUUAUUUUUAUUAUAAUAAUGAAUUUAGUUGGGGUGAUUGAAAAAUUUAAUAAACUUUUUUUAUAUAUGAACAUUAAUUUAUGAUUUAUUGAUCCUUUUUUUAAGAUUAAAAGAUAAAAUUACCUUAGGGAUAACAGCGUAAUUUUUUUUAAGAGUUCAAAUCGAAAGAAAAGAUUGCGACCUCGAUGUUGGAUUAAAAUAAAAUUUUGGUGUAGAAGCUAAAA